UCCCUGGUAGCUCAGUGGUAAAGAAUCUGCCCGAAAUGCAGGAGACCCAGGUUUGACCCCUGGGUUGGGAA
Molecule: transfer RNA, 71 nt
Filed under: Bos taurus (domestic cattle)
Lineage: Eukaryota; Metazoa; Chordata; Mammalia; Artiodactyla; Bovidae
Also listed under: 1 other name
Rfam family: tRNA
About the family: Transfer RNA (tRNA) molecules are approximately 80 nucleotides in length. Their secondary structure includes four short double-helical elements and three loops (D, anti-codon, and T loops).
Source: Rfam by way of RNAcentral